This 62-nucleotide unclassified non-coding RNA is filed under the name Sorangium cellulosum So ce56. The record is from RNAcentral. Lineage: Bacteria; Pseudomonadati; Myxococcota; Polyangiales; Polyangiaceae.
GGCGACCACGGCGGCGAAGCGUAGGAGGAAGCGCGAGCGGGCCGGGAGAACGAGCCUCGAAA